RNAcentral lists this ribosomal RNA (409 nucleotides) under uncultured Acetomicrobium sp. Its description in RNAcentral is "bacterial SSU rRNA". It matches the Rfam family "Bacterial small subunit ribosomal RNA", at positions 355 to 778 of the family's 1533-position model. The record is from RNAcentral. Lineage: Bacteria; Thermotogati; Synergistota; Synergistia; Synergistales; Acetomicrobiaceae.
UGGGGAAUCUUGGGCAAUGGGCGAAAGCCUGACCCAGCGACGCCGCGUUGGGGAUGAAGCCCUUCGGGGUGUAAACCCAUGUUGUAGGGGACGAAGAAAGUGACGGUACCCUACGAGGAAGCCCCGGCUAACUACGUGCCAGCAGCCGCGGUAAGACGUAGGGGGCAAGCGUUGUCCGGAAUUACUGGGCGUAAAGGGCACGCAGGCGGUGCGCCAAGUCGAGGGUGUAAAGUUACGGCUCAACCGUGACAUUGCAAUCGAUACUGGCGCGCUGGAGUGCGGGAGAGGGAAGUGGAAUUCCCGGUGUAGCGGUGAAAUGCGUAGAUAUCGGGAGGAACGCCAGUGGCGAAGGCGGCUUCCUGGCCCGCGACUGACGCUCAUGUGCGAAAGCCAGGGGAGCGAACCGGAU